Molecule: long non-coding RNA, 497 nt
Organism: Centruroides sculpturatus (bark scorpion)
Lineage: Eukaryota; Metazoa; Arthropoda; Arachnida; Scorpiones; Buthidae
Exons: 4
Source: RefSeq, a predicted model, not a curated record
AGAAAGAGAAGGAAGGAGAAAACAGGAAGUUAUAUGCUCUUCCGAAUUGUUAUGCUAUCGUUGACAUAAUAAUUUAUGGAGAUAGGAGAAUAUGGGAAUAAUCGACCUUUCUUCAGAAGAGGUAUUCAGUUUGAAGAUAGCAGGUCAGAUUCUGGACAUUUGGAAGUAGGAAUCACGAGGGGAACAAAACUACAAAGAAAGGACUUUGUAGAAAAUUGUGGUUAUUUUCACCAUCCGUAAAGCAUCCUUUCUCCCCUCUACCUACUUGGUAGCAGUCCAAGAGAUUCUGCCGGCGCCUGGUCCACUAGAACGGCAGUGGAUGUGGACGAAUGAAAUGAGUUCCAUCUCCUCUAAUAUCUGAAUAGAAAUGAAGAAUAAAACUUCACUUUAAAUGACGUAAAAUCCAUGUUUAGUAUGAAGAAAGCAUUACUCUGCACGAAACGACAGUUGUCAUCUUGGCAGAGAUGAGAUAGCUGAGAUUCUUUAAUCAUCCCCAC